RNAcentral lists this small RNA (1135 nucleotides) under Pongo abelii (Sumatran orangutan). RNAcentral describes it as "retained intron". Lineage: Eukaryota; Metazoa; Chordata; Mammalia; Primates; Hominidae. The record is from RNAcentral.
CACCGCAUCUCUACAUUCAAGAACUGGCCCUUCUUGGAGGGCUGCGCCUGCACCCCGGAGCGGAUGGCCGAGGCUGGCUUCAUCCACUGCCCCACUGAGAACGAGCCAGACUUGGCCCAGUGUUUCUUCUGCUUCAAGGAGCUGGAAGGCUGGGAGCCAGAUGACGACCCCAUUGGGCCAGGCGUAGUGGCUCACGUCUGUAAUCCCAGCACUGUGGGAGGCUGAGGCGGGCAGAUCACGAGGUCAGGUGAUCGAGACCAUCCUGGCUAACAUGGUGAAACCCCGUCUCUACUAAAAAAAAAAUAGAAAAAAUUAGCUGGGCGUGGUGGCGGGUGCCUGUAGUCCCAGCUACUCGAGAGGCUGAGGCAGGAGAAUGGUGUGAACCCAGGAGGCGGAGCUUGCAGUGAGCAGAGAUCACGCCACUGCACUCCAGCCUGGGCGACAGAGCGAGACUCCAUCUCAGGAAAAAAAAAAAAAUCCUUACAGUGGAUUACAUAACAAUUCCAGUGAAAUGAAAUUACUUCAAACAGUUCCUUGAGAAUGUUGGAGGGAUUUGACAUGUAAUUCCUUUGGAUGUAUACCAUGUAACAUUUUUCCAACUAAUUGCUAAAGAAGUCCAGAUAAAAUAGAUACAUUAGCCACACAGAUGUGGGGGGAGAUGUCCAUAGGGAGAGAGAAGGUGCUAAGAGGUGCAAUAUGGGAAUGUGGCUUGGGCAAAGCACUGAUGCCAUCAACUUCAGACUUGACGUCUUACUCCUGAGGCAGAGCAGGGUGUUCCUGUGGAGGGCGUGGGAAGGUGGCCCGUGGGGAGUGGACUGCCGCUUUAAUCCCUUCAGCUGCCUUUCCGCUGUUUUGAUUUUUCUAGAGAGGAACAUAAAAAGCAUUCGUCCGGUUGCGCUUUCCUUUCUGUCAAGAAGCAGUUUGAAGAAUUAACCCUUGGUGAAUUUUUGAAACUGGACAGAGAAAGAGCCAAGAACAAAAUUGAGAGAGCUCUGUUAGCAGAAUGAAAAAAUUGGAAGCCAGAUUCAGGGAGGGACUGGAAGCAAAAGAAUUUCUGUUCGAGGAAGAGCCUGAUGUUUGCCAGGGUCUGUUUAACUGGACAUGAAGAGGAAGGCUCUGGACUUUCCUCCAGGAG